AUACGGGGCCGUUAUAUUCAUGUGUUUGUUUAUCAACAUGGUAUAACUUCCCCGUAUUC
Molecule: microRNA precursor, 59 nt
Filed under: Branchiostoma lanceolatum (amphioxus)
Lineage: Eukaryota; Metazoa; Chordata; Leptocardii; Amphioxiformes; Branchiostomatidae
Description: Bla-Mir-4872-P21_pre stem-loop
Source: RNAcentral